RNAcentral lists this ribosomal RNA (253 nucleotides) under uncultured bacterium. RNAcentral's name for it is "partial 16S ribosomal RNA". It matches the Rfam family "Bacterial small subunit ribosomal RNA", at positions 524 to 776 of the family's 1533-position model. The record is from RNAcentral.
UACGGAGGGAGCUAGCGUUGUUCGGAAUUACUGGGCGUAAAGCGCGCGUAGGCGGCUUUGUAAGUUAGAGGUGAAAGCCCGGGGCUCAACCCCGGAAUUGCCUUUAAGACUGCAUCGCUUGAAUCCGGGAGAGGUGAGUGGAAUUCCGAGUGUAGAGGUGAAAUUCGUAGAUAUUCGGAGGAACACCGGUGGCGAAGGCGGGUCUCUGGGCCGAUACUGACGCUGAGGAGCGAAAGCGUGGGGAGCGAACAGG